GUCCCCUAGCUAUGCCCCAUUCUGAUCCUCAGAGUCGAAAGAAACAGAGGAAGAGCUGCCUGUCUCGGGGUGCUUAGCACCCCCAAACCCAGCAGAGCCGCUACUGAGGCAUUUCAGGUGAGCUUCAGGAUGAAUUUGCGUGACUGAGCAUUUGGGGGCAUGGAGGCCAUAGAACGGUGUAUUUUUUACAGGUUGAAGGAAGCCCAGAGACCAUCUAGUGCUUUGGUCCUCUCAUUUUAUGGAUGGAGAGCCAGCCCGAGAGCCUGAGCGAUCGCACACGUCACAGGAAACAGCAGCAGCAGGGAUAAGGUCCCAACAGCCUCUGGGAAGAACUCAGACUUGGGGUUCUGGGCCAAUGGAAGCAGAUGAAAACCCCGACUCGGAGGUGAAGGCCAGCUCCACGAACUUGGAGGUCUUCAGAUUGAACAUCUGGGAAGAGGCGAUGACACAUCAGACCAGAGAAUAUGUCCAGCACCAGAACUGGAGCUGCUGCAGACAGACCAGCAAUCCCGACAGCCAUGUGGGGCUUGAGCCCCGCAGAGGCAAACACGAGCCCACCUGCACACAGCUGGAGUCAAACAUUCACAG
This 588-nucleotide long non-coding RNA is filed under the name Ailuropoda melanoleuca (giant panda). Its description in RNAcentral is "lncRNA (ENSAMEG00000027778.1)". Lineage: Eukaryota; Metazoa; Chordata; Mammalia; Carnivora; Ursidae. The record is from RNAcentral.